AACCGCGUAGCUCAGUUGGCAGAGCAUUGGGCUAGUAUUCCAAAGGUCGUAGGUUCGAUUCCCACCGUGGCCG
Non-coding RNA from Paramuricea clavata, 73 nucleotides. NCBI's taxonomy places the organism in Eukaryota, Metazoa, Cnidaria, Anthozoa, Malacalcyonacea, Plexauridae. The record is from the annotation of a GenBank genome assembly.